RNAcentral lists this ribosomal RNA (524 nucleotides) under Archaeophya magnifica. RNAcentral describes it as "partial 16S ribosomal RNA". It matches the Rfam family "Archaeal large subunit ribosomal RNA", at positions 1900 to 2664 of the family's 2987-position model. The record is from RNAcentral. Lineage: Eukaryota; Metazoa; Arthropoda; Insecta; Odonata; Corduliidae.
CAAANACAUGGGCCUCUUGGCAUAUUAAAUAGGAGGUCGGACCUGCCCCAGUGAAAAUUAAAUUUAACGGCCGCGGUAAAUUGNCCGUGCAAAGGUAGCAUAAUCAUUAGUCUUUUAAAAGAGGGCUGGAAUGAAGGGUUUGACGAGGUAUUAACUGUCUCAGCUUAUAUGUAUUUAAAAUUUAACUUUUUAGUUAAAAGGCUGAAAUUUAAUUGGAAGACGAGAAGACCCUAUAGAGCUUUAUAUUUUUCUUUUUAAUGUGUACCUAUAUUAUUUAUAUUUAUCUGGAAAGGUAUUGUGUUGGGGUGACAAAAAUAUAUAAUAAACUUUUUUAUUAUUAAAACAUUGAUAUAUGAGCAUUAGAUCCAUUAUUAUUGAUUUAUAGAUCGAGUUACCNUCGGGAUAACAGCGUAGUCCUCCCCCAGAGUUNAUAUUUACGGGUAGGGCUUGCGACCUCNNUGUUGGNUUAAGANAAUACUUNGUGUGUANCCGNUNNNNNNNAGGUCUGUUCGACCUUUAAAUUC